GUCCUACGGGACGCAGCAGUGGGGAAUAUUGCACAAUGGGGGGAACCCUGAUGCAGCGACGCCGCGUGGGUGAAGGAGUACUUCGGUACGUAAAGCCCUAUCAGCAGGAAAGAAAAUGACGGUACCUGACUAAGAAGCCCCGGCUAACUACGUGCCAGCAGCCGCGGUAAUACGUAGGGGACAAGCGUUAUCCGGAUUUACUGGGUGUAAAGGGAGCGUAGACGGCUGCGCAAGUCAGAAGUGAAAGCCCGGGGCUCAACCGCGGGACUGCUUUUGAAACUGUGUAGCUAGAGUGCAGGAGAGGA
Molecule: ribosomal RNA, 305 nt
Filed under: uncultured bacterium
Lineage: Bacteria
Description: bacterial SSU rRNA
Rfam family: Bacterial small subunit ribosomal RNA
Source: RNAcentral